GACGAACGCUGGCGGCGUGCUUAACACAUGCAAGUCGUACGGUAAGGCCCUUUCGGGGGUCCACGAGUGGCGAACGGGUGAGUAACACGUGAGUAACCUGCCCACAACUUUGGGAUAACGCUAGGAAACUGGUGCUAAUACUGGUUAUGUGCUCCUGCUGCAUGGUGGGGGUUGGAAAGCUCCGGCGGUUGUGGAUGGACUCGCGGCCUAUCAGCUUGUUGGUGGGGUAGUGGCCUACCAAGGCGGCGACGGGUAGCCGGCCUGAGAGGGUGACCGGCCACAUUGGGACUGAGAUACGGCCCAGACUCCGACGGGAGGCAGCAGUGGGGAAUAUUGCACAAUGGGCGCAAGCCUGAUGCAGCAACGCCGCGUGCGGGAGGACGGCCUUCGGGUUGUAAACCGCUUUCAGCAGGGACGAAGCUUUUUGUGACGGUACCUGCAGAAGAAGCACCGGCUAACUACGUG
This 465-nucleotide ribosomal RNA is filed under the name uncultured bacterium. RNAcentral's name for it is "partial 16S ribosomal RNA". It matches the Rfam family "Bacterial small subunit ribosomal RNA", at positions 28 to 507 of the family's 1533-position model. The record is from RNAcentral.